This 1068-nucleotide long non-coding RNA is filed under the name Anser brachyrhynchus (Pink-footed goose). RNAcentral describes it as "lncRNA (ENSABRG00000019355.1)". The record is from RNAcentral. Lineage: Eukaryota; Metazoa; Chordata; Aves; Anseriformes; Anatidae.
GAAAACGUUUAUUUUUGUAGCCUCGGACCUCAAAGACAGCCAAGUAGGCUCCUCUUGGUGCUUCAUUGUGAGUCACACUUUAUCAGUGGUGCUGAGGAGAGACCCAGCUGUGCAAAGCCUCGAGUAUGAGCUGUAUGUUAUUUAUAUAUUCGCAUACUUCAGUAGAGUUGUAGCUGAGCUCUAAGGAAUCAAAGAAAUACAUGUGGUGUGGCCACUGGGAACACGGUGAAUGUCUACACACCGCGCUUCCCUUCCUUCCUCUCCUCGCAUUCAACUUACAAGUUAGUCAACCUCUUCUUGUCUCACACCCAGAGAUAAGUAUUAAACCACAGAUCCUGCUUAAUUGAGAAGUUUCAAGGCUUUCUUUUUUUCCCUGUCUUUUGUUUGUUCUUCAAAGGCUGAGAAGAAAGCCUCCAGCACGAGCUGCCUGCUGUGCUCGGUCCCGGUACCUGCCUGGUGACGAGAGGGCUACGUGCGGCAGGGAGCCGCGCUGCUCGUGUUGACGUCCUGCCAGCAGAAACCCUGUGCCCAAAGCCAGCUGAGAGCUACGCCUUCAGCACAACUUUGGAACAAGUUUGGGGCAAAGUCCUGGCUCAUUUGAUCUGGGGAAAAUCUCUCUGGUGUCAGAGGGGCCACAGUGAUGUGAAGUUGAGUGACGACGUGAGGCCUGUAGCUGGUUGAGCAAGGGAUUCUCCGAGUCGGAGCUCUGAGAUCAAGCUGCUAUGGACAGCACUGGUAUUUAUGUGAUCAUGGCAGUGGGGCAGAGAAGCAGCUACAGCUGGUUACAUCCUGAACUACAGCACCUUAACCUGACAGAGACAGAAGAUCAAAGCUGUAGGUCCCACUACAGGACUGAGGAUAUUGUGGCCAAUGACAGGAGAAGGAACAUGUUGUAUGUUGCUUGGGAAGACACAUGGGCAAGGAGGAACGGUUGCCACAAUGUGUGGGGAACAAUGGCAUCCUCUGUCUUACACAGAGAGGCCGGAUCACAGUCAAGAGACUUGGAGUACUGUGGUAGCUCCCAGGAGCCAUGAACCAAGUGCCUCUUAACCUAGGGACUCUAUAAAC